GUUUAUCUGCCGAGUUUGCCUUUCGGCAAACGUCGCAUUAUUGUAUGCAGUUUGUAAACAAACUGCGUGAAAAAACUUUUUUCGCAAAUUGAUAUUUGUUGCAAAAAUUUUUUAUAGGA
Treponema denticola ATCC 35405 is the source of this 119-nucleotide regulatory RNA element. It matches the Rfam family "TD-1 RNA". Rfam says of the family: non coding RNA found in Treponema denticola The record is from Rfam. Lineage: Bacteria; Pseudomonadati; Spirochaetota; Spirochaetia; Treponematales; Treponemataceae.